GACGAACGCUGGCGGCGUGCCUAAUACAUGCAAGUCGAACGAGAGCAACCGGUGCUUGCACUGGUCAAUCUAGUGGCGAACGGGUGAGUAACACGUGGGUAACCUGCCCAUCAGAGGGGGAUAACAUCCGGAAACGGAUGCUAAAACCGCAUAGGUCUUCGAACCGCAUGGUUUGAAGAGGAAAAGAGGCGCAAGCUUCUGCUGAUGGAUGGACCCGCGGUGCAUUAGCUAGUUGGUGAGGUAACGGCUCACCAAGGCCGUGAUGCAUAGCCGACCUGAGAGGGUGAUCGGCCACAUUGGGACUGAGCCACGGCCCAAACUCCUACGGGAGGCAGCAGUAGGGAAUCUUCCGCAAUGGACGCAAGUCUGACGGAGCAACGCCGCGUGAGUGAAGAAGGUUUUCGGAUCGUAAAACUCUGUUGUUAGAGAAGAACAAGUGCUAGAGUAACUGUUAGCGCCUUGACGGUAUCUAACCAGAAAGCCACGGCUAACUACGUG
Molecule: ribosomal RNA, 498 nt
Filed under: uncultured bacterium
Lineage: Bacteria
Description: partial 16S ribosomal RNA
Rfam family: Bacterial small subunit ribosomal RNA
Source: RNAcentral